RNAcentral lists this unclassified non-coding RNA (356 nucleotides) under soil metagenome. RNAcentral's name for it is "partial contains 5.8S ribosomal RNA, internal transcribed spacer 2, and large subunit ribosomal RNA". The stretch from base 1 to 120 matches the Rfam family "5.8S ribosomal RNA", at positions 35 to 154 of the family's 154-position model. The record is from RNAcentral.
GAUGAAGAACGUAGCGAAAUGCGAUAAGUAAUGCGAAUUGCAGAAUUCAGUGAAUCAUCGAAUCUUUGAACGCGCAUUGCGCCCGCCAGUACUCUGGCGGGCAUGCCUGUCUGAGCGUCAUUUCAACCCUCGCACCCGGCUUCUGGCGGGGGCGGUGUUGGGGAUCGGCCUCCCGUCAUCGGGCGGCCGGCCCCGAAAUAGAGUGGCGACCACGCCGUAGCCUCCUCUGCGUAGUAGUGAAACACUCCCGGGCGGAGAGCGGUGCGGCCCGCCGUAAAACCCCCAACUCUUUCUAAGGUUGACCUCAGAUCAGGUAGGAAUACCCGCUGAACUUAAGCAUAUCAAUAAGCGGAGGA